AUUGAUGAUUUUUUAUGAUCUAAGUUUGCAAUAAAGUUUCACAUUGAUAGACUUUUUGAUGAUUUUUAACUCCAUCGUUGUGAUGAGUCAAAAGAUUAUAUACGAUCCAUCUUUGAGUUACUUUUUUUUGUGGUACUAUUUCUGUACUUUUUUCAAACAAUUUUUUUUUAUAUAAAACCAGGAUGAAGAAGAAAUAACAUGGUUUUCUUUAUCGAUUAGGAUUGCUUAUUAUGGAGUAUUAUGGCUUAAUAGAAACCUUCCAUAAAUCUUUUAAAAAAAAAACCUUCCAUAAAUAAAGGAGGGAUUUUUUUUUUGACGAAAAUAAAGGGGGGUUUAAUUAAAUGUCUGUGAUUUAUUUUUCUUAUAAGUUAUGAGAUAAAAUUUGGCCAUUAGAUCAAAUAGAAUAAAUGGAUAGGAUUAAUUUGACACCUGGUGUCAACGGAUCUUAACUCAUAUAUAAAAGACACCCAUAAAAGUGUUUGUUAGCAUCAAACACCCAUACUAAAAGACAAAAAUAAUCAAAGUAAAAGUGGAUAGGUGUAUUUUAGCAUCAAACACCCAUAAUAAAAGACAAAAAAAAUUAAUUUUCCCACCUAUAAGAAAAUCUCUCAAUUUUUUUACUCAAUCAUAUUUUUUUUUGAACAUCAAAUUUUAUUAACAAACCUCAAGCCAUGGCAUAAGUUAUGCCAAGGGAGGUGGAUAAAAGUUAAUAUAAGAGAGCUACGAAAACUAGCCCAAAAAGCUAUCAACAAAGACUACAAAACACCAAAGGCCAAUAAAGAAAACACCACAAAACAGAAUUGCGAGCAAAAGUCCAAACCCCCAUCACCAAAUUAUCUAUUUUCAUUUUAUAUUGUUAGAGAUCCAGCGGCAAUGAGACGAAAGGAAAAGAAAGGAACUUUUUUGGGUUAUGGGUUGUUUUGAUUAUAUUUUUUUUAAGCAGUUUUGAUUUAUUUUAUAAAAUUUAAUAAGGGAAUGAAAUAAUGAGAAGCGCACGUGGCAAAAUUUGGUAAAUCAGAUUAAUCGGACGGAUGAAACUGGUCCAAAGACAGCCAUUUUUUCCCGCAAAAAUGUCAAGUAGCGGCAAAUAAAAAAGGGAAUUUUACUUUUACUUUGAGUUUUUUUUUGUUUUUUAGUAUGAGUGUUUGAUGCUAACAAACACCUUCAUGGGUGUCUUACUCUUAUGUAAAUAUACCCUUUAGUCCAUUUUAACAUAAAUAAACAUUUUUGUGAUAACAAUUAACGUUAAACAACUAUUUUAUGUCAAAAACUAUUUGCAUCAGAAAUUUGAUUAUAUUAAAAUGAAACUUUCAUUAAAAAAGAGAAAUUUUGCACGGGGUAAAUAAGCAUUUACCUUAAAAAAAAAACUUUAAGAGGUACCAAAUUGUUAUAACUUUUCAAUGAGGUUCUAUUUCCAAAUAAAGAUAAUAUAAAAAAGCUACCAAACUAAGUUCAAUUACCCUUCAAAGUAAGUUACAUUUACCAAAAAAUUGUAUAGACUAGGUAGCACUUCUAUAUAUGGGUGGACAACGGGCCGGGUUGGUCAGGUUCGGGCCCAAAACCUUCACCCGGCCCAAUUCAUGGGUGACUAAAUACAGUCCAUACCGAACCAUUUCUGGACCUCGGUUUAAACAGAUUCGGUUCAACGGGACGCGAGUAAAGUUGGUUGAGUUCUUACGGGUUGGGCCAAUAGUAAAAAAUUUUUGCAAUAUCUUCUUCACAUCAUCUUUAUGCACAACAAAGAAGAAAAAUUCUAGAUUUAACAAAUACAAAUCAAACAGAUCCAGAUCUAACAGAAUCAAAUUUGUAAAUAACAAAAAAAGUAAACAAAAAUUAGAAGUAUAUCUCAAAUAGAGGUAGAGACAAACAAGGUUGUUGAGAGAUACUACUCAAUGUUUGUGCAACACAUGAUCGUUUCAGAUGUUGUGCAGUUAAAUAAAAAUGGAGAAGAGAGUAGAGUUCAACAAGAGAGAAGAGAAACUUUGUUGUUCUCUAUGUAAAAGAAGGAGAAAUGAGAAGCAGAGAGAAUGUAAAGUUAGUGUAAUAAAUUUACCAAUAGCUAUGAUUAUCUUUUACUAGUUUCUAGUAACUAGUAGUAGUAGCUUUUUUCUUGAAAGGAGUUCUAAGUACUAUUAAAUGCAUUAAAAUAUUUCAUUACAAAAGCUGUAAAGGUAUGAAAAU
Molecule: long non-coding RNA, 2181 nt
Filed under: Trifolium pratense (red clover)
Lineage: Eukaryota; Viridiplantae; Streptophyta; Magnoliopsida; Fabales; Fabaceae
Description: long non-coding RNA (TPRA_LNC012701)
Source: RNAcentral